This 243-nucleotide unclassified non-coding RNA is filed under the name uncultured Dothideomycetes. Its description in RNAcentral is "sequence contains 5.8S rRNA gene". The stretch from base 1 to 53 matches the Rfam family "5.8S ribosomal RNA", at positions 102 to 154 of the family's 154-position model. Lineage: Eukaryota; Fungi; Ascomycota; Dothideomycetes. The record is from RNAcentral.
GAACGCAUCUUGCGCCCCGUGGCAUUCCGCGGGGCAUGUCUGUUUGAGUGUCAUUUCACCACUCAAGCCUGGCUUGGUGUUGGGCGACGUCCCCUUUAGGGACGCGCCUCGAAACGCUCGGCGGCGUGGCACCGGCUUUAAGCGUAGCAGAAUCUUUCGCUUUGGAAGUCGGGGCCCCGUCUGCCGGAAGACCUACUCGUAAGGUUGACCUCGGAUCAGGCAGGGAUACCCGCUGAACUUAAG